GUGUGUGUGUGUGUGUGUGUACAAGAUUAUAGCUCAUGAAAGGAAAGAGGCUAAAAUACUUUAAUUUUGCAGUGAAAUUUAUUAAUUCCUGAAAUCUUCUUGUUAUGAGAUGACUUUCCUACAUUAGGCUUCCUAUGAUCUAUUUGGUAUGAGUUGAUAUCUAUUUGUAAAUUUCCCAUGAAAUAGUUGUCACAGGUUGACUUAUCUUUUUUCAAUUUUCCUGAAUAAGAUCCCUAUUUUUCCAAAUUUAAUUCAACUUUAUGUCUUUAUCACUCCUAUUCGAUUUUUUUUUCUUUUCCCGUCCAUUUUUUUUCUUUCUUCUUUUUCUAUAUUCCCCUUUGUUUCUAUCUCUUGUCUAGGUGCUUUUUUGCUCUUUUUCUUUUGGACGUUUUCACUUGCUUUUUGCCUAACUUUUAUUGAAGAAAAUGCUAGUAGGCUACUCGUUAAUCUAGCUUGUAUGAAUUGAUAUU
Molecule: unclassified non-coding RNA, 470 nt
Filed under: Hevea brasiliensis (rubber tree)
Lineage: Eukaryota; Viridiplantae; Streptophyta; Magnoliopsida; Malpighiales; Euphorbiaceae
Source: RNAcentral